UGCUCGGCAGGCACCUAGGACAGUUA
This 26-nucleotide non-coding RNA is filed under the name Mus musculus (house mouse). Lineage: Eukaryota; Metazoa; Chordata; Mammalia; Rodentia; Muridae. The record is from RNAcentral.